This 466-nucleotide ribosomal RNA is filed under the name uncultured bacterium. RNAcentral's name for it is "partial 16S ribosomal RNA". It matches the Rfam family "Bacterial small subunit ribosomal RNA", at positions 28 to 507 of the family's 1533-position model. The record is from RNAcentral.
GAUGAACGCUGGCGGCGUGCUUAACACAUGCAAGUCGAACGGAAAGGCUCCUGCUUGCAGGGGUACUCGAGUGGCGAACGGGUGAGUAACACGUGGGUGAUCUGCCCUGCACUUCGGGAUAAGCCUGGGAAACUGGGUCUAAUACCGGAUAGGACGAUGGUUUGGAUGCCAUUGUGGAAAGUUUUUUCGGUGUGGGAUGAGCUCGCGGCCUAUCAGCUUGUUGGUGGGGUAAUGGCCUACCAAGGCGUCGACGGGUAGCCGGCCUGAGAGGGUGUACGGCCACAUUGGGACUGAGAUACGGCCCAGACUCCUACGGGAGGCAGCAGUGGGGAAUAUUGCACAAUGGGCGCAAGCCUGAUGCAGCGACGCCGCGUGGGGGAUGACGGCCCUCGGGUUGUAAACUCCCUUCGCUAGGGACGAAGCGCAAGUGACGGUACCUGGAGAAGAAGCACCGGCUAACUACGUG